RNAcentral lists this ribosomal RNA (416 nucleotides) under uncultured microorganism. Its description in RNAcentral is "bacterial SSU rRNA". It matches the Rfam family "Bacterial small subunit ribosomal RNA", at positions 9 to 420 of the family's 1533-position model. The record is from RNAcentral.
GAGUUUGAUCAUGGCUCAGAUUGAACGCUGGCGGCAUGCCUUACACAUGCAAGUCGAACGGCAGCAUGAUCUAGCUUGCUAGAUUGAUGGCGAGUGGCGAACGGGUGAGUAAUACAUCGGAACGUGCCCUGUAGUGGGGGAUAACUAGUCGAAAGAUUAGCUAAUACCGCAUACGACCUGAGGGUGAAAGUGGGGGACCGCAAGGCCUCAUGCUAUAGGAGCGGCCGAUGUCUGAUUAGCUAGUUGGUGGGGUAAAGGCCCACCAAGGCGACGAUCAGUAGCUGGUCUGAGAGGACGAUCAGCCACACUGGGGACUGAGACACGGCCCAGACUCCUACGGGAGGCAGCAGUGGGGAAUUUUGGACAAUGGGCGAAAGCCUGAUCCAGCAAUGCCGCGUGUGUGAAGAAGGCCUCGG